AGGACGAACGCUGGCGGCGUGCUUAACACAUGCAAGUCGAGCGGUAAGGCCCUUUCGGGGGUACGACGAGCGGCGAACGGGUGAGUAACACGUGGGUGACCUGCCCUCAGCUCUGGGAUAAGCCUGGGAAACUGGGUCUAAUACCGGAUAUGACUCCAUGACGCAUGUUGUGGGGUGGAAAGCCUUGUGCGGCUGAGGAUGGGCCCGCGGCCUAUCAGCUUGUUGGUGGGGUGANGGCCUACCAAGGCGACGACGGGUAGCCGGCCUGAGAGGGCGACCGGCCACACUGGGACUGAGACACGGCCCAGACUCCUACGGGAGGCAGCAGUGGGGAAUCUUGCGCAAUGGGCGAAAGCCUGACGCAGCGACGCCGCGUGAGGGAUGACGGCCUGGUGUAACUACUUC
This 405-nucleotide ribosomal RNA is filed under the name uncultured bacterium. RNAcentral describes it as "bacterial SSU rRNA". It matches the Rfam family "Bacterial small subunit ribosomal RNA", at positions 26 to 433 of the family's 1533-position model. The record is from RNAcentral.